CCUACGGGAGGCAGCAGUGAGGAAUAUUGGUCAAUGGACGAGAGUCUGAACCAGCCAAGUAGCGUGAAGGAUGACUGCCUUAUGGGUUGUAAACUUCUUUUAUAUGGGAAUAAAAUGUUCCACGUGUGGGAUUUUGUAUGUACCAUAUGAAUAAGGAUCGGCUAACUCCGUGCCAGCAGCCGCGGUAAUACGGAGGAUCCGAGCGUUAUCCGGAUUUAUUGGGUUUAAAGGGAGCGUAGGUGGAUUGUUAAGUCAGUUGUGAAAGUUUGCGGCUCAACCGUAAAAUUGCAGUUGAAACUGGCAGUCUUGAGUACAGUAGAGGUGGGCGGAAUUCGUGGUGUAGCGGUGAAAUGCUUAGAUAUCACGAAGAACUCCGAUUGCGAAGGCAGUUCACUGGACUGCAACUGACACUGAGGCUCGAAAGUGUGGGUAUCAAACAGGAUUAGAUACCCCAGUAGUC
RNAcentral lists this ribosomal RNA (460 nucleotides) under uncultured bacterium. RNAcentral describes it as "partial 16S ribosomal RNA". It matches the Rfam family "Bacterial small subunit ribosomal RNA", at positions 338 to 795 of the family's 1533-position model. The record is from RNAcentral.